GAUACUGCUGAGGCAAGAAAAAACGUGCUGAGGGUCAAUAGACUACCGACACAACUUCCGAAUGAAAUACAUGCAGGCUUCCCUCUGACAUGUCCUGACUGGGACCCUAACAGGCCUGAAGAGCCUCUUACUGACUGAGAGAGAGCAGUUUGCACCCCCCUGCUAUCCUGAAUCCUGCCACCUUGCUGCCGGAAGCUAGCGACUCUCUACCAAUGCAACAGUGUAUGGACAUCCUGGCAGAAGAAACCAGAACUAAGAAAGACCUCACUGACCAGCAAUGGCCAGGCUGCCACAACUGGUACACAGCUUUUUUGUUGAAGGGUGGGCCAAAGCCUUCCGCACUAAGAAGGAGACCACCACUGUCAUGGCAAAGAAGAUAUUAGAGGAAAAUUUCCCAAGAUUUGGCAUCCCUAAGGUACUUUCGUCAGACAAUGGCCCCUUCUUCGUUGCCCAGGUCAUGAAGGAAGUGUGAGAAGUAUCAAGUCUCCAGUCUCUGUUAGAUUAUGAAGGUUAAGAUGAAUCACCCUUAUUUCAGGAAGCCAGAGACUUAUACACAGAAGGAAAGAAGACUACACUGCCAGCAGAGCUUGUGAUGUGGAUGAAAGCGAGGCCAGGAAUGGCUAGGCUGUUGGACCUGGUCUACCUCUACCACUGGGAAGCUCCAAGCAGAUACAUACCACAGGCAGACUUCAGUGACUCUCUUUUUAGCAGGGGAUCCUCAGUGGCUCAGACACUGGUUGUGGAUCGUCCUUCUCCUGCAUGACUUGUUUUCCCAUACUGCUCUUUUGAACAAGUAAUAAAGUGUUCCACACUCAUUUAACCCUGUCCAGUUUCACUUGGACUGAGGAAUAACUAAAUAGUAUUAUAUAACAAGACUCUGAAGUGAUAUAGACCUAGCAUGUGCAUUUUAGAGCCUUCCUAGAGUGAUGGGGAGUAUUACCAGCUCAGCUUUGAAUUCUUUCUAGAAGGCAAGAUAGAUAACCAGUUAUAUUCAUGUUCCUCUAACAGACACUUCUUCAUAAUAUAAUAAGUCUUAUAAGUGAAACUAAAGAUUCCUUACCCUCAAAAAAUAUUUAUUGAACAGCUACUAUAUGUUUUACCCAUUCUGGUUACUUAUUAUAAAGAUGUAAACACACACAAAAUGAAAUAUCAGCCUGCAGAAAUCUUUCUGUCUGAUUAAAUUGUAACAGCUUAGCAUCCUGGCAAUUAGUUUAUCAGAGAAAACAAAAAUCUUAACAGUUAUAAUAACAGUGUAAGCUGACUUGGUGAGCAGAUGAGAUAGUUUUAAGUUAGUGUAAAUGGCCAAAAUGAAGGCAUUCUAAAGAGACAUGACCCACUUAAUCUAUCAGGUCACUGAAAUAAUGGACAUAAGAGGAAUGAAAAUUCCACUACAAAUCCCAAAACUGGGAGAAGGGAAAGGAGCCAGCCAGAAGGAGAAAAUGUCUCUUAGAAAGGGAAAGAAUAUGAACCAAGUUCUAAUAUUUUCUCAUACCACCUUAGAAGAACUGAAGCCCUGAUAAUGUUGAGACAAUGAUGGCUGGGACACCACCUGACCCAGCCUGCUGAGAUGUUCUUGACCCUGCUCUUCUAUGUAAACUUUAGUCUGUUUUUGACCUGGAAAAUAGACUUGAGCAGCACAUUGCAGCACUUUGUCUCCCCAAUAUUCCCACACUAAAUAAACUUUAUUUUCUGCUUUUAAUUUAAAUUUAUUAAAUUUUGGAAUCUAAAAUCCCUCAAAUCUUUAUUAUCACUAAUUUAUGCCAAAUUUGACAACUGUCUUGGUGCUUUGUAUAUAUGUACAUGCACAUUUUGUGCACAAAUGUGUGUUUUUAUGUGCACGUGUGUGUGUGUGUGUGUGUGUGUGUGUGUGUGUGUGUGUGUGUGUGUGUGUUUGUAUACAUGCAGUUCUGGUAUGAAGAAUGGACUGAUUUAG
This is a long non-coding RNA of Mus musculus (house mouse), 1933 nucleotides long. RefSeq annotates it as predicted gene, 53390. The record is from RefSeq and is a predicted model, not a curated record. The transcript has 5 exons. NCBI's taxonomy places the organism in Eukaryota, Metazoa, Chordata, Mammalia, Rodentia, Muridae.